CACCACGCCAGCGACAUGCCGCCCAAAGAGCUGCCCGGGUUCUACUACGACCCGGACAAGAACCGCUACUUCCCCACCAAGGGCCGCAUCCCCGGCGCCGCCACCCGCCCUCCUCGCCCUCCGCCGCCGCCGGCCGAGCCCUCGCCUCCUCCCACAGCACGCAGGAAAAGGGCGAGGCAGUCCGAGCUGCUGCAUGCCAGGGAGAUGUACGGCGGUGGUGUGAUAUUCUCCAAGAACAACAAGUCCACCUUCAAGCAGCAGUGCCAGUACACACAGGCGUCGCAGCCGAUGGUUUGGAAGUACCAAGGCACAACCUUAGUGGCUGAUAAGGCACUGGAGGAACUGCACGCCAUGGUUCAGACACCGAGUGGACUGCGUGAGUCCAAGCUAUUAGCGACCGGCAGCACGAAUGGUUCAAUCAGAUUAUUUGGGUUAGGAACUGCUCUAGAGAAUUUUGAGGAUGGGAUGGAGUUUUUACCUCAGCCUGUUUGGACUCCCUUGGGAAAGCAGAUAGCAGCAGUGAAUUCUCCACUUGCAAAUAUCUGGUCAUCUGAAACAGCGUUCUCAAACUUCUCAUCCAGUAUAUUUUGCAUAAAAAAGUUCGGGCGCAACUUCCAUGAUGCAGCCAGCACCAACUCAUCAGUUCAGCAAGCAUUGGUGGCUACUCUUGGAUCUGGAGGAUCUGGUGGUUCUGUUUAUAUUAUGGAUAUGUCAACUAUUGACUCUGCAACGGUUUCACGGAAUGCCCAUGAAAGAAUUGAAAGAGUUGCUUCAUUUGAUCGUACAGUAUGGACUGCUGAUUGUAAUUCUGAUGGCACACAAGUAGUUUUAGGUACAAACACUGGCGCUGGUUUGCUUAAUUUGGAGACAGGGACGUUAUCAUGGCUGUAUCGUUGUAAAAGUGACAUUCUUUCCCAGCAAUUUGUGCACUCGGGAAAUGUGGUGCUAUGUGGCCUACGGAAUGGGAGCAUAGUCCCUGUGGAUGUGCGGGAAAGGCACAGUAAUCACCCUACUGGUCGAUCUUCACCUAGCACUGCUAGGGGGACAGUUCCCAUGCUGUCUGCAAGGCAUAAUGGCAGAGGGAGAAACCAGGCUGAUAAGGCAAAAUCAUCUAGGGUUAUCUCUAUGCCUUCAGCAGUUUGCAGCCUGGUUUCUCUGUCGUCGGAUGAACACUACUUCUUAGGGAGCUCCAUGGAUGGAUCGAUCAAGCUAUUUGAUCUCCGUCUCAUUCAGAAGGGGGCUAUACAGUCUUAUGCAGGGCAUGUGAAUUCACACAAUAAUUUACCACUUGUUGUUGAUCCAUCUGAAACCCUACUUAUGUCAGGUGGGGAGGACUGUACCGUCCGUAUUUGGAGCAUCAAAACAGGCGAGCAAAUAUUUGCCAAGAGUGUGGCUGACACUCUCUUCACUGCACUUUGCUGGCCAGAAAGCAACCUUAACUUGGAUGGUUCUUCUUCGCUGUUUGAUCUAAACCACAGUUGGGGGGCUUGGAUGGGAUCACGUGAUGGCCUGUUCUACAUGCAUGGUACUUAAACUGGCUGUGCACUGAUACAAACUCUGGAGCGGACGGAUGCAAUUACUGCUUUUUCUUGGGGAAGACGCAUCGAAGACGAUUGAUCCUGUUGGUUCACCGAAAAGUGUGCUCAAGCUGGUGUCGCUGGAGAGAUCUCAGCCGUCGUAGUUGAUCCUGUUGUUUCUGGAAGCGAGGGUUAGUUAUAUGGGAUCUGCUCCUCAUAGAGUAAUAGUGAUGAUGAUCAUGUUGUUUCUCUUAGUGAUAGCAUCAUAUAUUCAUAUUAGCAAACACUGCUUCGGAGGUAUUGGUACACCAUUCCAGAUCUUUUUUAUCACACAAAACUGGUGCAACAUUUUAUUCAGCUCUUCCUACUUGCUACUAGCUACACCCAGGCAUGUUCAGGAUAAGGUCGCCCUCUUUGCUGUUUGUCGCCAGUUCCAAUCUUUCCCACUUUGUUCGGAGCGUGAUGAACAGGAGAACGGCAUUCUGGCAAAGGAGACCGCAUAUCUGACCCAUCCACAACCCCUGAAACAGGUUGCAUCACACUGAUGUUAGCAUUUUAUGGACACAUAAACAUGAUCUUCAGUACUCAAUAUGAAGGGAGAGAAAGAUAGUUACCACAUCGCAAUAAUAGAAGUGCUCAUUUGAGAAUCUGGCAUCAGCCCAGCAAGCAACACCAAUAUCUCAAACGCCCAGUACUCAAAGCUGCCAUUUGUAGAGGGAACAGCUAACUUGAGGCCGGGCAGCACGUACUGAAACGCUUCUGUUGAAAAUCCCCCCCAGGUCUGCUUGAAUCUCGUCGACAACAUCACAUAGGAUGCGAGCAUAAUGAAAGAUAGCCAGAGAGACAGCGAAGUUGACAUGGCUGGGCCUGCGAAGCCGAGCCCCAGGUAGUGCACGGAGGCAUGGGUAAUCCCGACAUGGAACACAAGUGGCAGGAGCGAGAACGCCACCAGUGGCAUCACCACGGACUGUGUCUGCAGGAACCUGAGGAUACAC
RNA transcript from Triticum aestivum (bread wheat), 2512 nucleotides. It is a transcript of the gene named DDB1- and CUL4-associated factor 4, with no coding region annotated. Lineage: Eukaryota; Viridiplantae; Streptophyta; Magnoliopsida; Poales; Poaceae. The record is from RefSeq and is a predicted model, not a curated record. The transcript is spliced from 15 exons.